RNA transcript from Falco peregrinus (peregrine falcon), 713 nucleotides. RefSeq lists it as uncharacterized. The record is from RefSeq and is a predicted model, not a curated record. NCBI's taxonomy places the organism in Eukaryota, Metazoa, Chordata, Aves, Falconiformes, Falconidae. The transcript is spliced from 2 exons.
GUUGUUUCCCCAUCCAGGCCAUGGCAGUCAAAGUCGAAUGGAUCCUGUGCCAUAAUAAGCCACGGGAUCAUCAAAUCUGCCCAGUGUGCUGCUCCUGAUGACCUGCAACUUUGGAUCUGCGAGAAGGCAGCAGGGCCAAGCUCCCCUUUCUCACUGUGAUGGCUGCUGGCUGCAGCACCACUGCGCUGCAGCUUGACCAUGGCUUCCAGACGACCCAGCAAGAAACAGCGUCAGCAAAGCCUCAGCACACAAGGAGAGAAGCUGCGCCUGAACCAGCUAGCGCCUGUGCUGGUGGUUGGAUAUUUUUUUUUAUUUUUUUUUUGCUAAUUAGAAAGUAGAGAAAUGACCUUUAGGAUUGUACAGUAUGAUAGUGCCUUGCAAAAGCAACUCUAGCACUUGCUAGACCGAUGCUUUGCCAGACAAGUCAUUAGGACUUUAAAAUAGUUACUACACACCUGCAUAUGAGAUUAAGCAAAAUAGCCCUGAUUGUAACACUGUAGCCAGGCAAGAGCAGAGGAAGUAGUGUUCAACCAAGCGAAAUGCUCUGGGUUUAUUAUACGGUCCUGUCUGCCAUAUAUAGUUGAUGAAUUGCUAUGUGAAUUAGCUUGCUUGAGGAGCGAAAGGGUGUUAAAAGCCAGUUUUUGGAGGUGGCACGUGUCACUAUCUUGUCCGCUGGCUGAAACCCCUCUGUAGCAAUAAAGAACCACAGCUUG